CAGUCGCCACGGUAAUACGAAGGGGGCUAGCGUUGCUCGGAAUCACUGGGCGUAAAGGGUGCGUAGGCGGGUCUUUAAGUCAGAGGUGAAAUCCUGGAGCUCAACUCCAGAACUGCCUUUGAUACUGAGGAUCUUGAGUUCGGGAGAGGUGAGUGGAACUGCGAGUGUAGAGGUGAAAUUCGUAGAUAUUCGAAAGAACACCAGUGGCGAAGGCGGCUUACUGGCUCAUUCUAGACGCUGAGGUGCGAAAGCGUGGGGAGCAAACAGGAUUAGAGACCCCUGUAGUCCCUGUCUCUUAUAC
This 301-nucleotide ribosomal RNA is filed under the name uncultured bacterium. Its description in RNAcentral is "partial 16S ribosomal RNA". It matches the Rfam family "Bacterial small subunit ribosomal RNA", at positions 509 to 807 of the family's 1533-position model. The record is from RNAcentral.